Molecule: ribosomal RNA, 382 nt
Filed under: uncultured soil bacterium
Lineage: Bacteria
Description: bacterial SSU rRNA
Rfam family: Bacterial small subunit ribosomal RNA
Source: RNAcentral
AGAUUGAACGCUGGCGGCAUGCUUUACACAUGCAAGUCGAACGGUAACAGGCCGCAAGGUGCUGACGAGUGGCGAACGGGUGAGUAAUGCAUCGGAACGUGCCCAGUCGUGGGGGAUAACGCAGCGAAAGCUGUGCUAAUACCGCAUACGAUCUAUGGAUGAAAGCGGGGGACCGAAAGGCCUCGCGCGAUUGGAGCGGCCGAUGUCAGAUUAGCUAGUGGUGGGUAAGCCCACAAGGCGACGAUCUGUAGCUGGUCUGAGAGGACGACCAGCCACACUAGGAACCUGAGACACGGUCCAGACUCCGUACGGGAGGCAGCAGUGGGGAAUUUUGGACAAGUGGGCGCAGCCUGACUCCAGCAAUGCCGCGUGCAGGAAGAGC